GGCCUGCCCUAUGAGUUUUAAAUGGCCGCGGUAAUUUGACCGUGCAAAGGUAGCAUAAUCAUUAGUUUUUUAAUUGAAAGCUGGAAUGAAAGGUUGGAUGAGAAAAUGACUGUCUCUAUUUAAGUUAAUUAGAAUUUUAUUUUUAAGUAAAAAAGCUUAAGUAAGUAUAAAAGACGAGAAGACCCUAUAGAGUUUUAAUUUAGUUGGGGUGAUUGAAAAAUUUAUUAAACUUUUUUUAGUUUAUUGUCAUUGAUUUAUGUUUAAGUGAUCCUUUUAUAAAGAUUAAAAGAAUAAAUUACCUUAGGGAUAACAGCGUAAUUCUUUUAAAGAGUUCAAAUCGAAAAAAGAGAUUGCGACCUCGAUGUUGGAUUAAAAUAAAAAUUUGGUGUAGGAGCUGAA
This 399-nucleotide ribosomal RNA is filed under the name Levoecus sp. 1 EMC-2007. Its description in RNAcentral is "partial 16S ribosomal RNA". It matches the Rfam family "Bacterial large subunit ribosomal RNA", at positions 1854 to 2566 of the family's 2925-position model. Lineage: Eukaryota; Metazoa; Arthropoda; Insecta; Coleoptera; Curculionidae. The record is from RNAcentral.